CAGUAGCCGCGGGAAAACGUAGGUGGCAAGCGUUGUCCGGAUUUACUGGGCGUAAAGCGCACGUAGGCGGCUUUGUAAGUCAGAGGUGAAAGCCUGGAGCUCAACUCCAGAAUUGCCUUUGAGACUGCAUCGCUUGAACGUCGGAGAGGUGAGUGGAAUUCCGAGUGUAGAGGUGAAAUUCGUAGAUAUUCGGAAGAACACCAGUGGCGAAGGCGGCUCACUGGACGACUGUUGACGCUGAGGUGCGAAAGCGUGGGGAGCAAACAGGAUUAGAUACCCGGGUAGUCCCUGUCUCUUAUAC
This 301-nucleotide ribosomal RNA is filed under the name uncultured bacterium. RNAcentral's name for it is "partial 16S ribosomal RNA". It matches the Rfam family "Bacterial small subunit ribosomal RNA", at positions 509 to 807 of the family's 1533-position model. The record is from RNAcentral.